Molecule: non-coding RNA, 4708 nt
Organism: Peromyscus maniculatus bairdii (prairie deer mouse)
Lineage: Eukaryota; Metazoa; Chordata; Mammalia; Rodentia; Cricetidae
Source: RefSeq, a predicted model, not a curated record
UAACUGAAACCCUUCAUUUUGCAGCUGGGGCUCCCUGCCCCCUUAAGGGGGCAGGGAGCCAGUGAUUCCUGGGGGAGCCCUGGUCCCUCUCAGGGUGGCCUGUCCUGUGUGACCUCGGGGAGCCAGCAGCCCAGACUCAGUACCCUGCCAGGGAGGCUUUACUACCCAUCACCUGAUGUGAGGAUGACCACUAUGACUCCCUGAUGGGGGGCAGAGACUCAUAUAGGGUCAGAGAGGACAAUCUGCCCUCCGUGGAAGGUGGGUGACCUUGGAACCCUGCCUGUAGCUAGUUCCCCCUUCUGCAAUAUUGGGGCAGCUAUGCCCAAGUCUUGGUAGCUGAAAUAGAACAAGAUAGAAAAUGGCGGACUGGUGAGGAGCCCCUGUGGCACACACAGGUGACUCUUCAGGAGGGUCCUUCCUCCUGUGGACCCAUCGGAAAGCCCCCCAUCUCAGCAUUUUGGAGCUAAGAGGAAAACGGAUGAGAGGCUCAAACAGGAAGGCAGCAUUAGGCUCUCUCGGGGUGUUCCCUGGGUUUCCACAGGCUUCUUCAGGCUAUCUGUGUCCACGUGGAAGUAACCCUGGGCUGCAGGCCAAGUGUAGGGAGUUUCAUCUGGAUUCUGUUUUUUAUUUGUCAUAAAAAAUAUUUUGCAUUUGUGAGAUGCAAAAUGAAACAGGCAGAUCCUUGCCUGUUAGCUUUAAGGUAUUCUCAGGUACUGCACCCACUCCACAAAGCCUAUGGGUGAAACAGCAGAACCUCAAGUGUGACAGAGAUGAUUAAGGGCUGGCCAUGAAGGCAGAAGGCUAGUUAACUUGCCUCAGUUUUUUUUUUUUUCCUGCCUAAAAUCAUGGUGGGAAACUGGUUUGCAUUUCCUCAGAGGAGGCUGUUAUCCAGUAAAUGAAAACGUGGCUUUGCAAGGACAAAGGUGGACGAGGUUUCAGACUGCUGAGUUUAGGAAGGGUUAAUUUUCUUGGUCGUUGUUCUGGGGGUCUCUGAGCCUCAGGCAUUUCUCUGAAGAUGUGGGUGUAAUCAUAUUAUCUUUGUCACAGACUCAACCCUAAGCGUGUUCUGAGAAUCUGACAGCCUGUGACAGCUGCAGGGACCUCACUAGCUGGGUCUGAAGCUUAGCCUGCAAGCAGGACUCGGGGUACCUUGGAAAGAAAGGGACUUCUGAGGAGGAGGAGUUCAGGGUGCCAUGCACUACCUGUGGGUUAGCAAUGGCGAUGCAGGACCGUGAGGGUUAGACGCCGGAGGUACAUGGUAAUAGUACGUGCUGCUUGAGAGUCAAACUGUCCAGGCACGCAGCAAAGCCCCGGCUCUUUGCCAGCAAGCAGGCUCCACUGUUGACACACUCGGGCUGCUGUGUCUGCAUUUCUCCAGAGGCCCAUGUCCCCUCUGCCAACAUCUAUCUCAAGUCACAUUCCCUUGGACUUCUCAUUCCAUACAGCUAAUCCCCUAGAACACGGGCCAGCGCAUUAGCUUUCUGGGCCUCUUAAGGACCGAAAAGGAAAAUGUUCCCCCAUGGGUACAUUGCAAACACUGAGGGCGGGAGACCACGGUGGUGAAAUCAUCGCCUGAGGCUCACACCUGCCGGCUACAUGUCACUGACAAAGCUGCACAGGGAGGGCAGCUUUAAAAAAAAAGAAAAAGAAAAGAAAAAAAGGAAGAUAAACCUUGAGUCCUGUGUGUACAGAACGGGCUUUGCACACCUAUAACUGACUUGUAAUUUGUCAGCUAAAAUGCUUGUUGGAUUUGUUUUUUGUUUGUGAAAGCCAAAAAAAAAAAAAAAACUCUAAACAAACAAAUAAAAAAAAUAACCUACAUAAAAACUACCACACAAAAUAUUUAUUGUAGUUAUACAGGAAACGUACUGCUAAUUAAUAUGGUGGUGGAAGCACUUAGCCUCUCCCUCUAUCCCCUCCUCAAAUUAGGGGCUCCUGCAUUUUCCUGUCCAUUUGCAUAUAUCUAAUAAGCACACCACCAGAGUCUAUGACUUUGUUUCUAUUGUAUGGGGGCGAUUUCAGAGCUAGUGUUUUUCCUUGUGCAUUUUGUAGCAGCUUGUUUUUCUUCUCCCCAGAAUGUACUUGGCAAUAAUAAAGAUCCAUAGCCUUCCUUAUGACAACCAGCACCUCAGAUUCCCAAACGGUGUACACACUGGAGUUGAUUUAACCAUCUCACUGCCUCCCUGAAAUCUGGGGUCCUUUAUCUUGGCAGGUAAACCCUGUCUGUGUUUCCAGAGACUGACUUCUGAGACCUUCCCUGGUCAGAGGGCUGUGUCACAGGCUGUGUGGUGCUGAUCUCUGUCCAAAGUACUUCCUGGCACUUUCAAGGGGCGUGUGGGGUUCUCAGAGAUGAGAGGAUGAUGAGGGGACAAGAAUUUGCUCAGGAUCGGCUAGUAAGCAGGACCCGGGGCUCCAACCCAGGGCUGAUCAUUCUCAGACGAUUUUGCCCUGUCCUCAGCAUCUAGACCUAUUGCCUAGCGCAGAAUGGGAGGGAGGAUGUCUGGUGCCUAGUCUCAUCCACACCGAGGAAUGUCCGCGUGUCCACAGCAGUCUGCACGGUGCCCGCAUGGAGGCCCUAAUGUGAAUGGAGACUAGCCUGCUGGGUGAGACCUUGGCAGUGACCACUGUGGGCAAUGAGCCAUGGGCCAACAAUUCUAUGUGAGCCUGUCUCUAAUAUUGAAGAUUUAUAUAUCUUAAUGGGCAAGAACCAAAAAGAUUCCAUGAUGUACCGCUGAUGGUGCCUGUCUGACCCUGAGACACUGUGGGCCAGGAAUCAAGGGACUCAUUUUGUGCUUGACUUCACCAAGUGGAUACACCCCCUCCAACUGAAUCAUCCUGGAAUGCCAAAGGUCUAGGUUUUUACCUCUGUGGGUAAGGAAAGAAGAGAUUUAUAGAUGUUAUCUUGUUCUAGUCAUGAUGACCACCUCCGUGCAUCCAAACUCAGAGCAUGAAGCCCCAGGAGCCCUGAUUUAAUUAUUUAAUACGGAAUCAUUGUCCUGAGUAAGGAGCAUAGUUGAGAAUAAAGAAUGAGUGCGGCUGCUAUGGCUUCAUGAUUACCUUCUGGGAAGACCUUGCCUGCUUACCUCUGCAAUAGGAGGGAAGACACAAUUGUGCAUCCCUCAAAAGCAGUGGCUCGGUCUGCUUUAAACAAUGGGCCACAUUAAUAAUCUCUACACACACUCUCGGUGUUUACCUGAAGACCCAAAACCUGUGAUGAUGAUUGACACCGUGUUUCCUGGCUGGGAGGUCCGUGGUUGCCCUGUCCCCAUGUGUUGAGGAUCAAGGGAACUGAUACGAGUUACCCUUCUAUCUGGAUCACGAUGUCUACGGCUCGCCUAGGGUCUUUGGAGCACAGUGAUCAUUGCUCAUCCCUCAGAAGGAAUGGCUUCAGUCUGCUUUAAACACUGGGUCACGCCCAUAAUCCCUACACUUAAUCUCAGUGCUUAUAUGAAGACCCAAAUCCUGUGUGAGUAAUAUUCAAAAUUAUUGUCUUGUUUUGUUCAACGAUGCUCUAUGUUAUUAUAGAGUAUAGCAUGUAUCUUAGCAAGGGGUUUGGUUAUUCCAAAGAGCAAAAUAUAAUCAGAGGUACAUUUAUUGUUUUGAAUCUAUGUGUUAAAACAACAAACAUACACACGUUACUAGAGAAGAGGAAGGUUAAUAUGGACCGAUGAUGACCAAAUCUGGGUUGGCAAUAUAAGUCACGGACGAUGACUACAAUUCUGGUGUCUGAGGUUCACAUCACCACACAUCCUAUGUUCCCUUCUUAGCUAGGAGAUACAUGUUAGGCAUGUGAGCACAUGCUGUCAUUUAGAAUCAGACAGUUUCAUGCAUUUUCUUAGUAGAUCAAUGAAACAUGAUAUAAAUAUUCACACAAAUAAAUGAUAAUAAAAAUUUCCAGCAUUGAUUAAGUAGUAAGUAAAUAUUUUGCCACUAGUGAUACUACUAGUAAUGCAGAAAUUAUGGAAAUCUGUUAAGAAAUAAUUGCAUAAAGAUGUAUAUAAGCUUUAUCCAAGUUCACAAAUGAAGUAUAAUUAAUGGAUAUAACCCCAGUGGGGUUCAAGAUCUUAAUUUUAAAUCUCACUUGAUCUCUUAAGACACCAUCAUAACAAUGAGAAUCUUAAAUAACAAAUAUUGAAAGGAGAAAUGUAGAAAUACCUUGUUAGAGCCAGGCAGUGGUGGUGCACGCCUUUAAUCCCAGCACUUGGGAGGCGGAGCUACAGCGGAUCUCUGUGAGUUCAAGGCCACCCUGGUCUACAGAUUGAGAUCCAGGACAGGCACCAAAAACUACACAGAGAAACCCUGUCUGAGGAAAGGAAAAAAAGAAAUAAUUUGUAAAAUAUCAAUCUUUUUAUUAUCUUCCUUCCUUUGAACUUCCUGAAUGGAUGAUGACUGACAUAUUACUUCCUGGCUGAGAGGUCCACGGUUCCCCUGUCCACAUGUAUAAGGGAACUGAUUGCUCAUCUCUCAGAAGGAAUGGCUUCAGUCUGCUUUAAACACUGGUCCACUCUCUUCACUUCCUCUUGGUGUUUACAUGAAGAACCAAAAUCGGAUGAUGAUUGACACCGCGUUUCCUGGCUGGGAGGUCCGUGGUUGCCCUGUCCCCAUGUGUUGAGGAUCAAGGGAACUGAUGUAAGUGGAGUCAAGAUUUUUGUUUUGCUUUGGGUGGCCUUGGUCACACAUUUAGGUUGUCUUGGUAAAGGCAUGCAUA